This 2521-nucleotide long non-coding RNA is filed under the name Sus scrofa (pig). Its description in RNAcentral is "lncRNA (ENSSSCG00030029779.1)". Lineage: Eukaryota; Metazoa; Chordata; Mammalia; Artiodactyla; Suidae. The record is from RNAcentral.
CACAGGCAGAAUGUUCUUAUUUAGCAUCACUGCAGCUGGUGAGGAUUGGUUUAGUACAGUCAACGUGAACUGAAGACUGUGCCAGGCAUAGAGGAGACAAAUCCAUCAAACAGCCCUUGCCUUUGAGGAAUAGAGAGAGCCAGGAGGAUGGGCGGGCCUUUGGAGGACAGUCCCAGACAGAGGCUUCAGUAUUAUCUGAUAAGAGGUAAGGAGGUACUGGUUUGCCCAGGGACUAGGUGGACUCUCCUGCACCUGGAGGUUCCAGAAAGCCACCUUGGAGAAGAUGAAGUGUGAGCCGAAUCUUUGAGCAGCAAGGGGAACCAAGUGAAGAGACCAGGCCCUGAGCCAGGACAAGUGUGAGGUGGGGCGUGGCCAAAAGAGGAGGGAGGAUGAGUGAAUAGGCCUUGGACCUUAGUGGCUGCCUGAGAUGGGGUGCAGGAAGGAUGGGGAGAAGACUUGGAGAAAAGGAGCUGAUGACUUCCGUUGGGGCUUGUGGGGUAUUGGAGUGGUUGGCGUGAUAUCCCUUGGGCCGCAGCUCAGAGCUGGAGACACACAGAUGGAGCAUGUACAUGGUAGUCAGAACUACGAGAGUGGUUGACAAUGUCCAGGAGAAAGGAGCAUUGUCUUAAGGAUUGUUUUAGGGAGUGAGUAGGGAAAGGGGGGUCCAAAAAGGAAUAUUAAGAUAAGAGGAGACCCACGUGGUAGUAGUGUCCCUGGAGCCAAGGCAGAGGGAGUUUCAAGAAUGAAGAUAGGGGAGUUCCCAUUGUGGUGCAGCGGAAACAAAUCCGACUAGGAACUAUGAGGUUGCGGGCUCGAUCCCUGGCCUUGCUCAGUGGAUUAAGGAUCCGGUGUUGCUGCAGGCUGUGGUGUAGGUCGCAGAUGCGGCUCAGAUCUGGCAUUGCUGUGGCUGUGUCAUAGACCCGCAGCUACAGCUCUGAUUCUACUCCUAGCCGGGGAGCCUCUAUGUGCUGCGGUGCGGCCCUAAAAAGCAAAAAAAAGAUUGAAGAGGGGUAGAUGCCAGAUGGCGGUGAAGAGUGAAUAGAAGGGAAAGACAAGGAGAGGGCAUUGUGACUCUACUUCAGCCUGGGAGGGGAGGAGGCAGAAAAUGUAUUAUAUCUAUGUAUACAUCUAGAUAAGUAUAGAUUAUAAAAUACUCAUUCUACCUGACCCACUUUUAUUUUCUUUUCCUGUUCAUCUUUACUCAAACCCACCCCUUUUUUUUCCUCACCUGUCCUUUGAUCUAAAAAAGGAUAACCACAACUAAUUUACACACCUCUUAAUGAUUUACAGAAUGCUUUCACAUGUGUCAUUGUGUAUAAUAUGCUCACCCACCCACUGAGUUGGUAUUUUAGCUGGAUGACGGUUGUCUAGGGUUGAGAUUCAGACAUGUAGGGUCCUAGAUGCCUUGGAAUUCAACCCCUCUUUGGAUAUUGGGGAAAUUGAGGCUCAGGAGACUUAGUGUCUUAUGUCAUUUUCAUUGCUAUAUGGUACUUCCUGGCACCAGAAAUCAACCUUCUGAUUUUCACUGCAUGACUCUAUUACAGUGUGGGGAUAUUGGUGAGGUUCAGGCAACCCUGUUGGAACUCAGUACAGGAGGUGCUUUGGGCCAUAGCCAAAUAAGAUCCUAUUCCUUUAAACCUUCCUGACUCCUCCAGGAGCUAAUUGCUGGUGAGCAAUAAAAAUCAGACCACAAACCCUCCAGCCCCUAAGACUCCCUCACUUUGUUCCCACUCUUGUCCCUAUUGGUAGACAUUCACUCCUUUUGCUAGAACAGCAUCUAUUUGUACUUAAUUCAUCAACGACCCCUCCUUAUGGUGCACUGAGAAUGACUCCUGGCUAAUUAGCAUAUUCUGUUACUUUGCCCUCAAUGACUGGUUCAGGGGUGGGUUUGUGAUCCAAGCCAGGCAGAUCAGAGUCAAUCUUGGAAGAAGAAUCCCUCUGCUGGGGCUGCUAGGGACCACGUGGCCCUUGCCUGAAAAGAGCUUGGGAGAGUGAAGCCACCAUGGAGGCAGCACAGUGAUGGGUGGGAUGCGGGGUCCUGAGGAUACCUGCCCGGGAGGUCCAACCUGCCAGGAGCUCGAGCUCUCCCUGCGUUUUCAGGUGCAUGAGCCAAUAAAGUCCCCAGUUAUGUUUCAACCUCUUCAGUGGCAGUUGCCACCACAAGAGCCCUAACUAAUAUUUUCCUUUUUGUAUUCCUAUUUUUCCUUCCAUGUCUUGAUUUGACUCCUAUCAUGUUUGGUCCUCAAAUUCUCUAGGAUUUGCUUCAGAGCAACCCUCUUACUCUGGGCUUUUUCAGGUUUGCUGUGCCUCGCUGGUUCCUGUCCCAUCAGCCAUCCCUUCUCCGUUGCCCUUCACCAAACUCUCUGAGGGGAUGUUUUCUUAUCACUCUGCUAGGAGUCAGAGUUUAUAAGUUUACGAGCUGCCUGUGCUUUAUAUGAACUGAUGAUUGCUAUUAUUAAUAAGACAUUUCUACUAUUAGCCCAGCGUUUUUUUAUUAUGAUUAAAAUAUACAUAAGAUUUG